AUGAUUGGUCACCAAUAAUUGGUAUACAUUUAAUUGUCAUUGAAAUUGCUUUACAGCCAUCAGAUAAAAUACUAUCUAUAAUAAUAAGUAGCCACCGCAUUUUAUUUUUUAUUAUACAUUUUAAUAAAGAGUUAUGCCAAGUUUUAGAAAGAAGUUUAUCUCGAAGUAAUUACUUGUAUCGAUAAGGCACCGAUUUUAAAUUACCUGCCGGAAACAUGACGACAAAUAAAUAAUUGUUAACUUUUUAGCAAUUGUUAAAUUUAUAAAUAAAUAUUAACAGUUAAUGUUGGUUUUAUUCCACUGUUCAUGCUGUCUGUUUGUAUAAGCUCUUUAUAAGCAACGCGAAAGCAAUAAUGGUUUUUUACCUCUGUCUGCUUAAGAAAAGAUGCAAAUUAGAUUUAAACAUCAGACAUUUAAUUUACUGUCACUUACAGAAAACUUGUAGCAACUAAAAGUUUAAGUUAGCGUAAAUUAGAUUUACAUUGAUUACGUUUAAACUAAUUAAUUAUCCUUAGCUUUGAUCCGCUUGCUUGCAAUAUAUCAGGGCGUACUCUAUUAAGCAUUAACAAUUAAACAGACGUAGAAAUAUUUUUUUUUAUACCUUAUACUGAUAAUAAGAUUUUAAAACAAAUGCCUUCAGAAAAAAAUACUAAAAGAAAGUGUGAUAAAAACAAAGAAUAGCUAAAAACAGUCGUAAAGAACGCAUGCAAAUAAAAGGAUACUGUUGUAGAAGUAAUCAAUACAACUUCUUGAUUGAAUUGAUGAAGGGAAGCACAUUAGGCUUUCCUAUGCUGACAAUGGACAUUGCUGCAGCCGAAGCAACAUUUUAAACGUGUUUUUUUAAAAAGUGCACAGUGGGUGCAUCAACUACAUUCUGAGUUAAUUUGUUCCAUCGGUUCGUAACUCAAUUUGUAAAGAAGUGGUUUUAAACAUUGGCUGUUUCUUCUCAGAUUAUAUCGUGAAUUUAACAAAAAAGGCUGGGCUUGUGGUGCCCCAAGAGGUUCUUACGGUCUUAUCACUGAGCACCGUGGAAGAGCAUUUGAAAGGAAGUUUAGGCCUCAUUCCUUACCGAUGUUAUAAACUUGCCCAGAGGUGGCGUCGAACCACGAGUAUCCAGCUUCUGGUUUCGUUGUUUAAUUUAAACAUUAAACUUUUUAACUCAUCAAAUGAUUGUUAUAUAUCAUUAGAAAAAGAUUGUUAUAUAUCAUUAGAAAGGUCUUUAAUUCAGUAUUUUAAAGGUAAAGAAAUUUACAAAAUUGAACUACUAUACAAAAAGUUAUGGCAUUUUAAGUACCGAG
Molecule: long non-coding RNA, 1298 nt
Organism: Hydra vulgaris (swiftwater hydra)
Lineage: Eukaryota; Metazoa; Cnidaria; Hydrozoa; Anthoathecata; Hydridae
Source: RefSeq, a predicted model, not a curated record